This 450-nucleotide ribosomal RNA is filed under the name uncultured bacterium. RNAcentral describes it as "bacterial SSU rRNA". It matches the Rfam family "Bacterial small subunit ribosomal RNA", at positions 335 to 801 of the family's 1533-position model. The record is from RNAcentral.
ACUCCUACGGGAGGCAGCAGUGGGGGAAUAUUGCACAAUGGGCGCAAGCCUGAUGCAGCAACGCCGCGUGAGCGAUGAAGGCCUCGGUCGUAAAGCUCUGUCCUCAAGGAAGAAUAAAUGACGGUACUUGAGGAGGAAGCCCGGGCUAACUACGUGCCAGCAGCCGCGGUAAUACGUAGGGGGCAAGCGUUAUCCGGAAUCACUGGGGCGUAAAGGGGUGCGUAGGCGGUUUUUCAAGUCAGAAGUGAAAGGCUAUGGCUCAACCAUAGUAAGCUUUUGAAACUGUUAAACUUGAGUGCAGGAGAGGAAAGUGGAAUUCCUAGUGUAGAGGUGAAAUUCGUAGAUAUUAGGAGGAACACCAGUGGCGAAGGCGACUUUCUGGACUGUAACUGACGCUGAGGCACGAAAGCGUGGGAGCGAACAGGAUUAGAUACCCUGGUAGCACGAGAG